ACCGAACUCAACAACUCAAGUAGGAAUGGUACUUACGGCAAGAACAAGUUACCACAACAACAAGCUAUAACUAGCAAAUAUCCUUACCUCAACAACAAGUGUCCCAAGGCAAGCAACACGGCAACAAGUCCAACCACAAAAAUCACGCAAGUUACUCCCAACUUAAAGUGAACCUCACGGCAACACUUUCCACACUUGAGUGUCCCACG
RNAcentral lists this unclassified non-coding RNA (209 nucleotides) under Hevea brasiliensis (rubber tree). Lineage: Eukaryota; Viridiplantae; Streptophyta; Magnoliopsida; Malpighiales; Euphorbiaceae. The record is from RNAcentral.